GAUGGGCAUGCGUUGUAUUAGCUAGUUGGUGGGGUAACGGCUCACCAAGGCGACGAUACAUAGGGGGACUGAGAGGUUAACCCCCCACACUGGUACUGAGACACGGACCAGACUCCUACGGGAGGCAGCAGUGAGGAAUAUUGGUCAAUGGACGCAAGUCUGAACCAGCCAUGCCGCGUGCAGGAUGACGGCUCUAUGAGUUGUAAACUGCUUUUGUACGAGGGUAAACGCUCUUACGUGUAAGAGCCUGAAAGUAUCGUACGAAUAAGGAUCGGCUAACUCCGUGCCAGCAGCCGCGGUAAUACGGAGGAUUCAAGCGUUAUCCGGAUUUAUUGGGUUUAAAGGGUGCGUAGGCGGUUUGAUAAGUUAGAGGUGAAAUUUCGGGGCUCAACCCUGAACGUGCCUCUAAUACUGUUGAGCUAGAGAGUAGUUGCGGUAGGCGGAAUGUAUGGUGUAGCGGUGAAAUGCUUAGAGAUCAUACAGAACACCGAUUGCGAAGGCAGCUUACCAAACUAUAUCUGACGUUGAGGCACGAAAGCGUGGGGAGCAAACAGGAUUAGAUACCCUGGUAGUCCACGCAGUAAACGAUGAUAACUCGUUGUCGGCGAUACACAGUCGGUGACUAAGCGAAAGCGAUAAGUUAUCCACCUGGGGAGUACGUUCGCAAGAAUGAAACUCAAAGGAAUUGACGGGGGCCCGCACAAGCGGAGGAACAUGUGGUUUAAUUCGAUGAUACGCGAGGAACCUUACCCGGGCUUGAAAGUUAGCGACGAUUCUUGAAAGAGGAUUUCCCUUCGGGGCGCGAAACUAGGUGCUGCAUGGUUGUCGUCAGCUCGUGCCGUGAGGUGUCGGGUUAAGUCCCAUAACGAGCGCAACCCCUACCGUUAGUUGCCAUCAGGUGAAGCUGGGCACUCUGGCGGGACUGCCGGUGUAAGCCGAGAGGAAGGUGGGGAUGACGUCAAAUCAGCACGGCCCUUACGUCCGGGGCUACACACGUGUUACAAUGGUAGGUACAGAGGGCAGCUACCCAGCGAUGGGAUGCGAAUCUCGAAAGCCUAUCUCAGUUCGGAUUGGAGGCUGAAACCCGCCUCCAUGAAGUUGGAUUCGCUAGUAAUCGCGCAUCAGCCAUGGCGCG
Molecule: ribosomal RNA, 1135 nt
Filed under: human gut metagenome
Description: bacterial SSU rRNA
Rfam family: Bacterial small subunit ribosomal RNA
Source: RNAcentral